UACGAGGGGGGCGAGCGUUGUUCGGAAUUAUUGGGCGUAAAGGGUGCGUAGGCGGCCUGUCAAGUCUGCUGUGAAAUCCCUGGGCUCAACCCAGGGCCUGCAUCGGAAACUGUCGGGCUUGAGUAUGGGAGAGGUGAGUGGAAUUUCCGGUGUAGCGGUGAAAUGCGUAGAUAUCGGAAGGAACACCUGUGGCGAAAGCGGCUCACUGGACCAUUACUGACGCUGAGGCACGAAAGCGAGGGGAGCAAACAGG
RNAcentral lists this ribosomal RNA (253 nucleotides) under uncultured bacterium. RNAcentral's name for it is "partial 16S ribosomal RNA". It matches the Rfam family "Bacterial small subunit ribosomal RNA", at positions 524 to 776 of the family's 1533-position model. The record is from RNAcentral.